This 496-nucleotide ribosomal RNA is filed under the name uncultured bacterium. RNAcentral describes it as "partial 16S ribosomal RNA". It matches the Rfam family "Bacterial small subunit ribosomal RNA", at positions 29 to 507 of the family's 1533-position model. The record is from RNAcentral.
AUGAACGCUGGCGGCGUGCCUAAUACAUGCAAGUCGAGCGAACAGACGAGGAGCUUGCUCCUCUGACGUUAGCGGCGGACGGGUGAGUAACACGUGGAUAACCUACCUAUAAGACUGGGAUAACUUCGGGAAACCGGAGCUAAUACCGGAUAAUAUAUUGAACCGCAUGGUUCAAUAGUGAAAGACGGUUUUGCUGUCACUUAUAGAUAGAUCCGCGCCGCAUUAGCUAGUUGGUAAGGUAACGGCUUACCAAGGCAACGAUGCGUAGCCGACCUGAGAGGGUGAUCGGCCACACUGGAACUGAGACACGGUCCAGACUCCUACGGGAGGCAGCAGUAGGGAAUCUUCCGCAAUGGGCGAAAGCCUGACGGAGCAACGCCGCGUGAGUGAUGAAGGUCUUCGGAUCGUAAAACUCUGUUAUUAGGGAAGAACAAAUGUGUUAGUAACUAUGCACGUCUUGACGGUACCUAAUCAGAAAGCCACGGCUAACUACGUG